Molecule: ribosomal RNA, 253 nt
Filed under: uncultured bacterium
Lineage: Bacteria
Description: partial 16S ribosomal RNA
Rfam family: Bacterial small subunit ribosomal RNA
Source: RNAcentral
UACGUAGGGGGCAAGCGUUGUCCGGAUUCAUUGGGCGUAAAGAGCGUGUAGGCGGCCAGGUAGGUCGGUUGUGAAAACUGGAGGCUCAACCUUCAGAGGUCGACCGAAACCAUCUGGCUAGAGUCCGGGAGAGGAGAGUGGAAUUCCUGGUGUAGCGGUGAAAUGCGCAGAUAUCUGGAGGAACACCGGUGGCGAAGGCGGCAUCCUGGACCGGUAUUGACGCUGAGGCGCGAAAGCCAGGGGAGCAAACGGG